This 722-nucleotide ribosomal RNA is filed under the name uncultured Nitrososphaerota archaeon. Its description in RNAcentral is "bacterial SSU rRNA". It matches the Rfam family "Archaeal small subunit ribosomal RNA", at positions 178 to 905 of the family's 1478-position model. Lineage: Archaea; Thermoproteati; Nitrososphaerota. The record is from RNAcentral.
CGCGCAUCCUGCACAGGUCCGCCUCAGGAUGGGGCUGCGGCCCAUCAGGUAGUUGGCGGGGUAAAGGCCCACCAAGCCGAUAACGGGUGCGGGCUCUGGAAGGAGGAGCCCGGAGAUGGGCACUGAGACAAGGGCCCAGGUCCUACGGGGCGCAGCAGGCGCGAAACCUCCACAAUGCGGGAAACCGCGAUGGGGUUACCCCGAGUGUCGCCCGCUGAGGGCGACUUUUCUGGGGUCUAAAAAGCCCCAGGAAUAAGGGGAGGGCAAGUCUGGUGUCAGCCGCCGCGGUAAUACCAGCUCCCCGAGUGGUCGGGACGUUUAUUGGGCCUAAAGCGCCCGUAGCCGGCCCGGUGUGUCUCCCGUCAAAUCCGCCGGCUCAACCGGCGGACCGCGGGGGAUACUAUCGGGCUAGGGGGCGGGAGAGGUCGGGGGUACUCCCGGGGUAGGGGUAAAAUCCUCUGAUCCCGGGAAGACCACCGGUGGCGAAGGCGUCCGGCCAGAACGCGCCCGACGGUGAGGGGCGAAAGCUGGGGGAGCGAACCGGAUUAGAUACCCGGGUAGUCCCAGCUGUAAACGAUGCGGGCUAGGUGCUGGAGGGGCUACGGGCCCCUCCAGUGCCGCAGGGAAGCCGUUAAGCCCGCCGCCUGGGGAGUACGGCCGCAAGGCUGAAACUUAAAGGAAUUGGCGGGGGAGCACCACAAGGGGUGAAGCCUGCGGUUUAA